Molecule: ribosomal RNA, 497 nt
Filed under: uncultured bacterium
Lineage: Bacteria
Description: partial 16S ribosomal RNA
Rfam family: Bacterial small subunit ribosomal RNA
Source: RNAcentral
GAUGAACGCUGGCGGCGUGCCUAAUACAUGCAAGUCGAGCGAACAGACGAGGAGCUUGCUCCUCUGACGUUAGCGGCGGACGGGUGAGUAACACGUGGAUAACCUACCUAUAAGACUGGGAUAACUUCGGGAAACCGGAGCUAAUACCGGAUAAUAUAUUGAACCGCAUGGUUCAAUAGUGAAAGACGGUUUUGCUGUCACUUAUAGAUGGAUCCGCGCCGCAUUAGCUAGUUGGUAAGGUAACGGCUUACCAAGGCAACGAUGCGUAGCCGACCUGAGAGGGUGAUCGGCCACACUGGAACUGAGACACGGUCCAGACUCCUACGGGAGGCAGCAGUAGGGAAUCUUCCGCAAUGGGCGAAAGCCUGACGGAGCAACGCCGCGUGAGUGAUGAAGGUCUUCGGAUCGUAAAACUCUGUUCUUAGGGAAGACCAAAUGUGUAAGUAACUAUGCACGUCUUGACGGUACCUACUCAGAAAGCAACGGCUAACUACGUG